Molecule: ribosomal RNA, 584 nt
Filed under: Mammaria echinobotryoides
Lineage: Eukaryota; Fungi; Ascomycota; Sordariomycetes; Sordariales; Lasiosphaeriaceae
Description: partial large subunit ribosomal RNA
Rfam family: Eukaryotic large subunit ribosomal RNA
Source: RNAcentral
UAGUAACGGCGAGUGAAGCGGCAACAGCUCAAAUUUGAAAUCUGGCCUCGGCCCGAGUUGUAAUUUGUAGAGGAAGCUUUUGGUGCGGCACCUACUGAGUCCCCUGGAACGGGGCGCCAUAGAGGGUGAGAGCCCCGUAUAGUAGGACGCCUAUCCUUUGUAAAGCUCCUUCGACGAGUCGAGUAGUUUGGGAAUGCUGCUCAAAAUGGGAGGUAAAUUUCUUCUAAAGCUAAAUAUUGGCCAGAGACCGAUAGCGCACAAGUAGAGUGAUCGAAAGAUGAAAAGCACUUUGAAAAGAGGGUUAAACAGCACGUGAAAUUGUUGAAAGGGAAGCGCUUGUGACCAGACAUGCGGCGGGCUGAUCAUCCGGUGUUCUCACCGGUGCACUCUGCCCGCCUCAGGCCAGCAUCGGUUCUCGCGGGGGGAUAAAGGCCUUGGGAACGUAGCUCCUCCGGGAGUGUUAUAGCCCAGGGUGCAAUGCCCUCGCGGGGACCGAGGUUCGCGCUCUGCAAGGAUGCUGGCGUAAUGGUCACCAGCGACCCGUCUUGAAACACGGACCAAGGAGUCAAGGUUUUGCGCGAGUG